UUUGACUUCCCGUUACAUGUAAAUAUAUAUUGCUUGUAUAUUAAUUAGCUUGAUUUUAUUUCCCUAGGUUGGUUUCAUUCCUUUCGGUUGUUCUUGUAUUCUCCAAUGAUUGACAGGUGCACCAAAGGGAUUCGCCUCACUGCUAGUUAAGCAACGGAAAAUUACCAAUUCUGCUUGAGAUGAGUUCUCCAACAGAUAAUCUUUCUGGCAGCCAAAGUUUUUGGUACUCUCUCUCAGAUUUUGGUUUUCUUCCCGAUAACAACCAGACAGAUUUCUUGGUCUCAUGAGUUCCUCUUCUUUUCCAACAACCAAUCUCUCAUGCAAACCUUUUGUGAAUUGUUGUUGACUUCAGAAAUCGGAUCCAUAAACGAGACAGAUCUUUGGGAUCAGAUGUAAAGUUGGUCAUCUAUUUGAGCUAAUAUCUCUUCAACUAUCUUCCUAUAUUACAUUUAAUAUCUCAAAGUGUGCUAUCGUUGUGUCCACUUCUACUUGGCAUUCCCGUCUUGGUCAUGUUUCCUUAUCUUGAUUAAAAUUUUUAUGUUUUAGUAGUAUUUUAGGGAAUAUUAAAAAUAAUCAUUUUGAUUGUGUUUCUUGUGAACUUGGCAAAAAUCAAUUUUAUCUUUCAAUAAUAGCACUUUUAUUUCUUCUGCUA
Long non-coding RNA from Mangifera indica (mango), 652 nucleotides. RefSeq lists it as uncharacterized. The transcript is spliced from 2 exons. NCBI's taxonomy places the organism in Eukaryota, Viridiplantae, Streptophyta, Magnoliopsida, Sapindales, Anacardiaceae. The record is from RefSeq and is a predicted model, not a curated record.